Long non-coding RNA from Empidonax traillii (willow flycatcher), 1156 nucleotides. RefSeq lists it as uncharacterized. The record is from RefSeq and is a predicted model, not a curated record. Lineage: Eukaryota; Metazoa; Chordata; Aves; Passeriformes; Tyrannidae. The transcript has 2 exons.
ACUUGGAUCAAAACAAAAAUCUCGUUCAUAUAUGGUAGGGUCUUACAUGAAGGAAACAUUAGAAAUAUUCUCCACCGUAUCCUAUUUUGAAACAUUCUUUUUCUAUAUGGAGAAGGGAAGAGUUUAUCAUAUUUCUUCAAUUAAAUCAGAAUGCAAGCUUUUAAAAAGGAAAAAAACCACCAAACCCUGUUCAGUGCUAUCAGUGAAUAUAGUUGGGAGAACUGAUUUUGAAACAAGUAAUUCUUUCUCUGACUUCAGUCAAUGUAGCUGGGUCCUCUGAGAAACACCAGCAGCUCCCUUAUCUCUCUUCAGAGGAGUUUUUGUAGCAGACGUUCAGUGAUGUGUUGCAGCAUUUGGACAUUGUCACCUGAAGGUAAACAGAAAAAUACACCAUUUAGAUUUCCCUGUGGACCUCAGAGUUUAUCCUGCAGCACCAAAACCCCAACGCUGCUGCCUCUCUCUCGCUCCAGUGUCAGAGCUUGUUUUGUUAUCCAGGGCUGCUGCUUGACAUGCAGCUGGAUGCUCAUGUCUGUUAGGAGUGAGGAGAACAUACUGGAGUUUUACAGCAAUCAAGAUGAAGUAUGAAACUACACAAAUUUCAUACUUCUGCUCUCUGCUUUAAGUGACUGAAGUACAGCAGUGGAAUGCUUGAGAUGCAGAGAGAGAUCUUAAAAAACUGGAAGUAGAUAGUCUUGUAACCCUGAUCAUGGUGAUGUGAGAGCAAAGGUUCCAAGGGAAGAGUAUUUGCUUAUACCAGGCUGACAAAGGGAUUAUGUACUUUUUCGAAUUAGAGUGGUCUAGUACCACUAAUUACAGUGGUAUUUCUCUCCUUGCAAACACACACACCCCCAAGUUAGGCCUCUAAACUAGAACACUCUAGUUUUAAAUACAGUUGAAAUGGUUUUUAAUGUAUAACUUUAAAUCCAAUAGGGGAUGUUGAAAAUUUCAAGUUUUACUUUACAUUCUGAAUUUCUCUUAAUACUUUCUCAAGUGCUUUUGAAGAGAUUUAUUCUUCCUGCUUUUCUUGUGUCCAACACAGAAAAUGCCUUAAAUUUGUCUGCCUCUUGGAGGGCACUUUUAUUUAAAAUUCUCACUGAAUAUUUUAUUGCAUCUGCCUCUAUUGCUAAAUUAUUUUCUUUCUUGAACAGAAAAUUUA